Molecule: ribosomal RNA, 538 nt
Filed under: Anechura bipunctata
Lineage: Eukaryota; Metazoa; Arthropoda; Insecta; Dermaptera; Forficulidae
Description: partial 16S ribosomal RNA
Rfam family: Bacterial large subunit ribosomal RNA
Source: RNAcentral
UGCCCUUUGUUUAUGAAUAAACGGUAAGGUCUGCUCCCUGAUUUUCUUUAAAGUGCCGCGGUAUUCUGACCGUGCGAAGGUAGCAUAAUCAAUAGUCUUUUAAUUGAUGGCUGGGAUGAACGAUUUAAUGAGGUUUUCACUGUCUCUAGCAAAUGAGUGAAUUUUAUUUUUUUGUAAAAAAGCAAAAAUAAUUUUAUUAGACGAGAAGACCCUAUAGAUUUUUACAACAGUUUUGGUUCCCUAGAAGAAAAGUUUAGCUUAAAGAGGACCUAAGAGGUUGUUUGGUUGGGGCGACAGGAAAAGAAGCAAAGCUUUUCUUUAUAGAUGAUACAAAUAUGUAAAUACAGGACCCAAAAAGAUUGAUUAGAAGAAAAAAAUACCUUAGGGAUAACAGCGUAAUUUUUUUUAAGAGUUCAUAUCGACAAAAGCGAUUGCGACCUCGAUGUUGGAUUAAGAGUAACUCUCGGUGCAGAAGCUGAGAGAUGAGGUCUGUUCGACCUAUUAUAUCUUACAUGAUCUGAGUUCAGACCGGCGUGAG